RNAcentral lists this ribosomal RNA (440 nucleotides) under uncultured bacterium. Its description in RNAcentral is "partial 16S ribosomal RNA". It matches the Rfam family "Bacterial small subunit ribosomal RNA", at positions 338 to 795 of the family's 1533-position model. The record is from RNAcentral.
CCUACGGGUGGCAGCAGUGGGGAAUAUUGCACCAUGGGGGAAACCCUGAUGCAGCGACGCCGCGUGCGUGCAGCAGUAAUUCGUUAUGUACAGCUCUAUCAGCAGGGAAGAAAAUGACGGUACCUGAGUAAGAAGCCCCGUCUCACUACGUGCCAGCAGCCGCGGUCAUACGUAGGGGGCAAGCGUUAUCCGGAUUUACUGGGUGUAAAGGGAGCGUAGACGGCAGUGCAAGUCUGGCGUGAAAGGCGGGGGCUCAACCCCCGGACUGCUCUGGAAACUGUAAGGCUGGAGUGCAGGAGAGGUAAGUGGAAUUCCUAGUGUAGCGGUGAAAUGCGGAGAGAUUAGGAGGAACACCAGUGGCGAAGGCGGCUUACUGGACUGUAACUGACGUUGAGGCUCGAAAGCGUGGGGAGCAAACAGGAUUAGAUACCCUGGUAGUC